AGCAGCCGCGGUAAUUCCAGCUCCAAUAGCGUAUAUUAAAGUUGUUGCAGUUAAAAGCUCGUAGUUGAAUUUCGGGAUCAAUUAAUCGGUCGUGCCUCUGGUACGCACUGGUUUUAUUGGUUUCUCCCUUCUGACGAACCAGGAUGUCAUUAAUUUGGUGUCUUGGAGAAUCAGGACUGUUACUUUGAAAAAUUAGAGUGUUUAAAGCAGGCUUCUAGGCAUGAAUACACUAGCAUGGAAUAAUGAAAUAGGACGUUUGAUCCUAUUUUGUUGGUUUCUAGGAUCGACGUAAUGAUUAAUAGGGAUAGUUGGGGGCAUUAGUAUUCAAUUGUCAGAGGUGAAAUUCUUGGAUUUAUUGAAGACUAACUAUUGCGAAAGCAUUUGCCAAGGAUGUUUUCAUUAAUCAAGAACGAAAGUUAGGGGAUCGAAGACGAUCAGAUACCGUCGUAGUCUUAACCAUAAACUAUGCCGACUAGGGAUCGGAUGAUGUUAAAUUUUUUAAUGA
This 505-nucleotide ribosomal RNA is filed under the name uncultured Glomus. RNAcentral describes it as "SSU rRNA". It matches the Rfam family "Eukaryotic small subunit ribosomal RNA", at positions 569 to 1078 of the family's 1831-position model. Lineage: Eukaryota; Fungi; Glomeromycota; Glomeromycetes; Glomerales; Glomeraceae. The record is from RNAcentral.